AACGAACGCUGGCGGCAUGCCUAACACAUGCAAGUCGAACGAGACCUUCGGGUCUAGUGGCGCACGGGUGCGUAACGCGUGGGAACCUGCCCUUAGGUUCGGAAUAACUCCCCGAAAGGGGUGCUAAUACCGGAUAAUGUCUUCGGACCAAAGAUUUAUCGCCUUUGGAUGGGCCCGCGUUGGAUUAGCUAGUUGGUAGGGUAAAAGCCUACCAAGGCGACGAUCCAUAGCUGGUCUGAGAGGAUGAUCGGCCGCACUGGGACUGAGACACGGCCCAGACUCCUACGGGAGGCAGCAGUGGGGAAUAUUGGACAAUGGGCGAAAGCCUGAUCCAGCAAUGCCGCGUGAGUGAUGAAGGCCUUAGGGUUGUAAAGCUCUUUUACCCGGGAUGAUAAUGACAGUACCGGGAGAAUAAGCUCCGGCUAACUCCGUG
RNAcentral lists this ribosomal RNA (433 nucleotides) under uncultured bacterium. Its description in RNAcentral is "partial 16S ribosomal RNA". It matches the Rfam family "Bacterial small subunit ribosomal RNA", at positions 29 to 507 of the family's 1533-position model. The record is from RNAcentral.